AGUGAACGCUGGCGGCAGGCCUAACACAUGCAAGUCGAGCGGCAGCGCGGGGGCAACCCUGGCGGCGAGCGGCGGACGGGUGAGGAAUGCAUCGGAAUCUACCUCGUUGUGGGGGAUAACCUCGGGAAACCGGGACUAAUACCGCAUACGACCUACGGGUGAAAGUGGGGGACCUUCGGGCCUCACGCGAUGAGAUGAGCCGAUGCCGGAUUAGCUAGUUGGCGGGGUAAAGGCCCACCAAGGCGACGAUCCGUAGCUGGUCUGAGAGGAUGAUCAGCCACACUGGAACUGAGACACGGUCCAGACUCCUACGGGAGGCAGCAGUGGGGAAUAUUGGACAAUGGGCGCAAGCCUGAUCCAGCCAUGCCGCGCGUGUGAAGAAGGCC
This 386-nucleotide ribosomal RNA is filed under the name uncultured bacterium. RNAcentral's name for it is "bacterial SSU rRNA". It matches the Rfam family "Bacterial small subunit ribosomal RNA", at positions 30 to 416 of the family's 1533-position model. The record is from RNAcentral.